AGUGAACGCUGGCGGUAGGCCUAACACAUGCAAGUCGAACGGCAGCACAGUAAGAGCUUGCUCUUACGGGUGGCGAGUGGCGGACGGGUGAGGAAUACAUCGGAAUCUACUUUUUCGUGGGGGAUAACGUAGGGAAACUUACGCUAAUACCGCAUAUGACCUACGGGUGAAAGCAGUGGAUCUUCGGACCUUGCGCGACUGAAUGAGACGAUGUCGGAUUAGCUAGUUGGCGGGGUAAAGGCCCACCAAGGCGACGAUCCGUAGCGGGUCUGAGAGGAUGAUCAGCCACACUGGAACUGAGACACGGUCCAGACUCCUACGGGAGGCAGCAGUGGGGAAUAUUGGACAAAGGGCGCAAGCCUGACGCAGCCAUGCCGCGUGAGUGAAGAAGGCCUUCGGGUUGUGAAGCCCUUUUGUUGGGAAAGAAAAGCAGCAUGUUAAUACCCCGCUGUUCUGACGGUACCCAAUGAAUAAGCACCGGCUAACUUCGUG
RNAcentral lists this ribosomal RNA (492 nucleotides) under uncultured bacterium. Its description in RNAcentral is "partial 16S ribosomal RNA". It matches the Rfam family "Bacterial small subunit ribosomal RNA", at positions 29 to 507 of the family's 1533-position model. The record is from RNAcentral.